AUUGAACGCUGGCGGCAGGCCUAACACAUGCAAGUCGAACGGUAACAGGAAGAAGCUUGCUUCUUUGCUGACGAGUGGCGGACGGGUGAGUAAUGUCUGGGAAACUGCCUGAUGGAGGGGGAUAACUACUGGAAACGGUAGCUAAUACCGCAUAACGUCGCAAGACCAAAGAGGGGGACCUUCGGGCCUCUUGCCAUCGGAUGUGCCCAGAUGGGAUUAGCUAGUAGGUGGGGUAACGGCUCACCUAGGCGACGAUCCCUAGCUGGUCUGAGAGGAUGACCAGCCACACUGGAACUGAGACACGGUCCAGACUCCUACGGGAGGCAGCAGUGGGGAAUAUUGGACAAUGGGCGCAAGCCUGAUGCAGCCAUGCCGCGUGUAUGAAGAAGGCCUUCGGGUUGUAAAGUACUUUCAGCGGGGAGGAAGGGAGUAAAGUUAAUACCUUUGCUCAUUGACGUUACCCGCAGAAGAAGCACCGGCUAACUCCGUG
This 490-nucleotide ribosomal RNA is filed under the name uncultured bacterium. RNAcentral's name for it is "partial 16S ribosomal RNA". It matches the Rfam family "Bacterial small subunit ribosomal RNA", at positions 30 to 507 of the family's 1533-position model. The record is from RNAcentral.